UAAAAUGCAAAAAGUCGAAAAGUCGACUUUUAAUUAAAUGAAAAAAAAUCGACUUUUCGUUUCAACUAUAGAACCCUAUUAAGACCAAACUAACAAAUAAACAUGCAAACAUACAUAGAUAUCCUUGCUCCAAAUUUAAUGAAGACCGGACCAUGUUUAUUAAGGUAAAAUUCAACAUUCAAAGUUUCUUUAUGGAAAAUAAAUAAUUUAUAAAUAUAAAAUAUACUUAUCAUAUAGGGAAUCAUAUUCGGCCAUGCUCCACUAUACUUUCCUAGUUCUUUUUAAAUAACUAUAAAAAUACAGAAGUUAACACAAAUAUUAAAAAUAAUACGCUCCAUACAUGCCUUACUAAAACGUAGGUUGCUCGUUGUCCAAUAAAGAUAUUCAUAAUAAUAUUACAAUUUAAAAAUCAGUCCAUUUUCAUUUGGUCUAGACCAUUAUUCUUAUAUUUCAAUUUGAAACGAUUUGUUUUUGAACGCAAAUGUAUGCAAUUUCUUUUUUGGUAAAUAAACUUAAAUAUAUGUCAUUUAAAGUCCCCUUACGAAGGUAUUAAACGUUUAUCAAAUUGGCUUAAUUUAAGUAAAAUACAAGCAAGCAAUUUAAAGUAUACGCUUAAACAUUCUGACUUAAUUUUACAUAAAAAAACGAGAUUUAUUUCCUACAUAUCUUUUUAGUUGUUGCAGGGAAUCCACCGUAUUUCAAAUAUAAAAUGAUUUUUAUAUAAAUUUUUCCAUAAAAGUUAACACGUUGUAUGUAUUACUGCCAUAAUUUUUAUCCCUUACUUAUACUUUAUUUGAAAAAAGUAUUCUAAAUAUUCCUGUACAAUCUACAUAAGAAUGGAUUCUCCACUAACUCCUGUAGUGCCACAUAUGUAUGUAUAAGUAUGGAGUGUGGAGUUUUUACCUUUGGAUGUCUGUUUACAUCAUCAAAAAUAAAAAAGGAACAUAAAUCAUACAUAUAAAAACGUAUUAUGGAAACAUAUUGAAACCAUUGUGCAAGAGGAGAUAAAACUCUUCAGGUGUAAAUAAAAAGCACACCGGAAUGAUACCUUAGAUGUUGUUGCUUUUACUCCUUUUUUUUUGCUGUUGCUGUUUUAUAUUCAUUGGUAUUUUAAUUCAAACAAACAUGUAUUAUAUGUUGCCAGGCUGUUAAAAGAAUGUAUGCAUUUGUUGAAUAAAAAUAUAAAUAAUUUUCAACUUUUUUAUUCUAAAUAAACUUAGAUAAAUUUUAAAACCAUUUUGUGCUUGCGAAUAAAACUAACUUGUUCUAUUGGUUAGUUUUAUUCACAAUAAUUUAUCGAUUUUAAAAUACUACUGCUGCUUACAAAUAAUCUUAAGUUAUUUUGGAAAUCGAUUUUUAAAAGUAAUAAAUUAUUUUAUAGUCCUGACAAUAUACCAAAACUGGUAUUACAGUACAAUACACAAAUAAAUUCAUGCAAUAUCAGCAGUAGUAAACAACAAAAUAGAAACAAAUCUAAUGUAAAUUUUUCUAUUUUAGGCUGAUUUUUUGUUGUAAUUUUAUUAAAGGUUUUCUUUAUAAAAUUUUAAUCAUUAAUAGGACCAAUUAGUUUAAAAACACAUUUAUGAAAAUUUUCUAGGGAUUAAUAAAUUUUUAGUUGAACUUUUUUUUUUGUUGACAUUCAAACAUGAGAACUUGUUAUUACUUUUUAAAUCCGUUUUCAAGCCAGGAAUGAGCGUUAAGGCAUUUUCUGAAGGGUAGCAUAAAUGGAGUGUAGGGUCAAUUAUAUUCGUUCUUACAAAAUCUGUGUAUUUUCUUAUAACUAUAUUAUCCCUAUUAAGAACCUUAUUUAUAAACAGUUAUCAAAGGUGUAUAAAACAUACUUAUAUAGUAUGAAAAUUAGUUUUAUAAACCUUUGAUAAAAGUUUAUGAAUGAGAGCCUAGUAGUUACCGUUAAAAUUUUUUCUGAAUGAGGCCUUAUAAAGGGUACAUUAUAACCCGAUCUUUAUAAAAUUUGGGAUUAUCAAGUAAAAAUAUUUCUAAUAAGAUCAAGAAAAAAAGUGAUAUUUUACUAUUUAUAUUUCCUACACCACUUAAGUCGGUAGGGGUUUUUUUAAGGCGUAUUAAAGUACACCAAUUGGCUCAAAAUCAUUUUCUGUGUCGAUUUAUCUAUAUCAUCUAUUCGACAGUCCAUGUAAAGUUGUGCGCACGCUGAAAUCGGUUCACUAGUUUUCCUAGCUCUCAAUAUUAUGCUGUAAUAACGUUUCAAACCCGGAACGAUAUCUUAAAUAACAGAUCUGAUAAGUCCAGAUUUGGAUAAAGUGUAGCUCAAUCUUUUACAAAAGUAUAUCUUGGUGUUUGUAUUAGAAAAUUAUCGAAAUUAUUACCUCUGUAAUUAAAUAAAUAUCUAGUUACAACUGUUUUUGUUCUUUGGUCCCCCCUAAUACUAUUUGUUCCAAAUUUUUUCUAUUAGACUCUAAAAAAUUUAAAUUUCAGGUGCUUGUUUGUUUUCCAUUUACCUAGAAGCAUUAUGUAUGUAUUUGUAUGUAUGUAUACGUACAUAUCCAGAUAAAUAUAUGUAUGUGUAUCUUCAUAUUUUUAUGGUCGUAUGUGGUGGUAAUGAAAGGAAAUUAAAUUGUUAUGAUUUUUUUUUAAGGUUUAAAAGAAAAUUUUUGGUUUGGAAACAAAAAUACAUUUUACUGGUCAUAAAAGCAUACAAAACAUUUAGUAUUUACUUACUAAUUAAACGUACACAUCUGUCUGUAUGGUACCUUCCCAAAAAUAUUGCAUGCGAUAAAAAUGCACUUUUUGUUUGAGUCUUUUCUCAAAUUCUCACAUCUACUUAUGUUUGUCAUCAUGUUUAUUUUUUACAAUAUACAUUGUAUAUAUAUAAAUACAGGUAGUACUCAUUUUUUCUGUACGCAGUGGAUUCAUAUUUUUGUCCUCUUUUAACAGACGGACAUACAUAUAGUAUAUGUAUUAUCUUCAAUUUCUUUUGAUAUUAUUUAAUUACGCAGUAAAAUUUGACUAAAUAACUAGCUUCAUCACCAACUUGAUUUCAUUAUCAAAGUUAAUGUGGUUACGAUCAGUGGUUACUAAUAAAAGUUAAAUUAAUAAAAAUUAAAAUACAUGUGCUAGUUAUAUAACCAUUAGUGAAUGGAAAAAUUUAUAAAUUUUAGAAUUCUCCAGAUUCUUGUAAAUUAUAAUUAUAGACAAAGGAAGAAUAAAAUCAUUUUCUACAAGUAAAAUCUGACCAAGUUUAUAUCCGAAUAUAUGGUUACUAAACGCACCGAGCGUAAAAUUCAAGAGGUUUUAGAACUUAAAUCAUCAGAUUCGGAAAAUUAAACUCCACAAUUAAAGUCCAUACGUGGCCACGAGGCCCGCCACAUGUGACUAGAGUCACCUUAAAUACAUCACCAAUUUUUCCACAUAUAGAAGUCCAUUUUGGCCACGAGGUCACUACAUUUGACGUUAAGACACAAUUUCCAAAAUUAGGGACUGCACACAAGUUAAAGUCUACACGUGUCCUUCAUCUAAUUGCUUUUUCACAACACACGUGAUCGAGAAGUUCAUCACAUCUGACCAAAGUCACCUAAACACGACCCGGAGUGAGAAUUAAAUUCCCACGUGGCCGUGAAGGUCUUCACACCUAGUCACGCCAAAUUAUAUAUUUAAAUGUGCCUUAAUUAUUCAUUAAAAACUAUUUAAAAAUUAUUAAAAUCUAAUCUAAUAAAAAAAUUCGCUAAAUAUUACCUAAAUCUUAAAAUCUAACCAUUAUUUCUUAAACUAGUUCUAAAAUAUUAUAAUUUUUGUAUUAAAUCUUUCCAAACGUAAACGAAUUUAAACUAAUUAAUUAAAACCUUAUGUAAUGUGAUUUUUACAAGUGACAUAAAUUGUCUCAAAAUGAAUUAAUCUAAAACAAUUAAAAAGAUUUAAUACAAAAAUGUACUAAAUAUUUUCUAAAACAUAAUAAUACUCUAAACUUUAACCUUAAUUUUUCUAAAAUAAAUAUAAAUAUCACAGCUAUUUGAACUAAACUAACUUAUAAAUAAUCUAACUAAAUUAUAUUAAUGCUAAAUUAACUAUUAUUGCACAUUUUAUAUACGAUUUAAAAUAGUUUAUUUUUUUUAUUUUUUAUAAAUUCCUAUUUAAAAUGUAAUUUAUAUUGUUCCUAAUCUCCAAACAUUUCUGAAUUGUUUAAAAUCAUGAAUUAUAUUUACUUAAUUAUACAAUGAAUUAAUUUACUAUUGUCAGCAUUUUCUAAACUUACAUUACUAUUAUAAUACAAUCAUACUUAUUUAAUUUUAUAACUAAAAUUUCUUUAAGUAUAUAUCUAAAUAUCUAAACUUAUUAAUAGUAACAAAAAAAAUCAUAAUUUAGAGAUUUACAUCAUUUGAGCUAAAUAUCAACAACACCAAUUACUACAGAUUUGCUGGGCCCAUCAAUGAAACACUAGUAAUGGAUCAUCAAACAUAAUGUAAAUAUUCUCACUAUUUUAUGUUUUACUUUUGGGGUACAAGUCGUAUACAUGCAAGUUUAUGGAUUCUUUUUGUUAAAAAAAAGUUCUCCUCCAACGGCAACGUUUGUACUUAUAAGGAAAGAGGCCAUUUAUCCACCUACUUACCAGCAGAAGAGCAUUUGUUGUAGUGGCAGAAGGACAGCAAUAAUAAAUACCGAAGAAACGAUGCCACAUGCUACAAACAAACAUGCAGAUACAAGUAUAAGUAUUUGUUGUUGUAAAGAUUCUCAUAAAGUGUGUAAAUUUAAAAUAAGUAUCUAUAUCUGUACACAUACAUACAUACAUACAUACAUACAUAUACAUUAAUAUAAAUUCUUUUUAUUUAUUUGUACAUAUUUAUGUAUUUCUUUUAUAUUCAAUUGUAUGUAUUUUAAGUUUUUUUGUAUCCCUCACCCUUAGAAGAAGAUUCAAUACAAAUAAAAAAUCAAUUAAAUUUUUAAGAACAAUAAAAUU
RNAcentral lists this long non-coding RNA (4930 nucleotides) under Lucilia cuprina (Australian sheep blowfly). RNAcentral's name for it is "uncharacterized LOC124419049". The record is from RNAcentral. Lineage: Eukaryota; Metazoa; Arthropoda; Insecta; Diptera; Calliphoridae.